Molecule: long non-coding RNA, 1047 nt
Filed under: Cairina moschata (Muscovy duck)
Lineage: Eukaryota; Metazoa; Chordata; Aves; Anseriformes; Anatidae
Description: domestica (muscovy Duck (domestic type)) lncRNA (ENSCMMG00000000472.1)
Source: RNAcentral
AUGGGGGGGGGGCAGCGCCGGCUCCGGAGGCCUCUCCUCGCACAGCCAGCGGGGCGCCGCUCCCUGCGGGGGGCAACCCGGGCUCCCUGCGCUAACCCCGGGCAGCAGAGCGAAGGGCCCCGAGCCGCAGGCAUCGCCCCGGUGGCUGCGAGCUCCGUGCAGCGGCGGUGGCGGCCGCCGCCUCCCCAAAACCCCCCCCCAGCGCCCCGGGGAGGGCUCGGAGGGCUCCGUCCCGCGCCUCCCCGCUGCCCCCCGGCCCGCCCCGCCCGCUGCCGGCCGCUCACCGCUGCCCGCUGCCCGCAUGGCCCCGCUCGGCCCCGCUGCGCUGCGCUCCCCGCCGAGCCCCGCGCGGCUCCGAGGCGGCGGCGGCGGCGGCGCGGGGCGGGGCGGAGCCGCGGCCGCCCCGUAGUGGGGGGGGGGGGGGGGGGGGGGGGGGGGGGGGGGGGGGGGGGGAGUGGGAGAGGGCGUGGCCAGGCGCGCCGUAUUCUAAGGGGCGUGGUCAGCCGUGGCCACGCCCCCCUCCCGCCUCAUUCACAAAAAACGCCAGCGGUGGGAAGCGCGCGGGCGGGGCCCAGCGCCCAUUGGGCGCCGCGGCUGCCCGUCAGCGCCCCGCCCCGCCGGGGAAGCCGGCCAAUCAGCGCGCGGCGAGGGGCCGCCGAGCCGCUCAAAUCCGCCCGCCGCCGCCGCCAGCGCGACGCUGAUUGGCUGAGGGAGCUGCCCGUCAUCUCUCUGCCCCCCCCCCCUUCUCGCUCGCACGCGUGCCCCGCCCUCCAGCGCCCCGCGCGGCCGCAGCCCGCAGCCGGGCCGCCGACCCCUCCCGGAGCCCGGCGGCCGCGGGGAGGCCUCGGGCGGCGGUGGUGCCCGCGGGGCCGCGUACUGACCUGCGCGGCGGCGGCGGGGAGCCGGGCAGGGCGCGGGCACGGCGCGGACACGGCCCCGGCGCGGACACGGCGGCGCGCGCGCCCCCGACGGCCUCAGCCCGUGACGGGAUCCGCCAUCUUGGAAUUUUUCGCGGCGGCGUCACGUGAGCAGUCCAGUCUGGCUUAA